RNAcentral lists this ribosomal RNA (233 nucleotides) under uncultured bacterium. RNAcentral describes it as "partial 16S ribosomal RNA". It matches the Rfam family "Bacterial small subunit ribosomal RNA", at positions 794 to 1022 of the family's 1533-position model. The record is from RNAcentral.
UCCAUGCCGUAAACGUUGGGAACUAGAUGUAGGGACCAUUCCACGGUUUCUGUGUCGCAGCUAACGCAUUAAGUUCCCCGCCCGGGGAGUACGGCCGCAAGGCUAAAACUCAAAGGAAUUGACGGGGGCCCGCACAAGCGGCGGAGGCAUGCGGAUUAAUUCGAUGCAACGCGAAGAACCUUACCAAGACUUGACAUAUACGAGAACGGGCUAGAAAUAGUUCACUCUUUGGA